Molecule: ribosomal RNA, 459 nt
Filed under: uncultured bacterium
Lineage: Bacteria
Description: partial 16S ribosomal RNA
Rfam family: Bacterial small subunit ribosomal RNA
Source: RNAcentral
CCUACGGGUGGCAGCAGUGAGGAAUAUUGGUCAAUGGGCGGAAGCCUGAACCAGCCAAGUCGCGUGAGGGAUGAAGGUUCUAUGGAUCGUAAACCUCUUUUAUAAGGGAAUAAAGUGUGGGACGUGUCCUAUUUUGUAUGUACCUUAUGAAUAAGGAUCGGCUAACUCCGUGCCAGCAGCCGCGGUAAUACGGAGGAUGUGAGCGUUAUCCGGAUUUAUUGGGUUUAAAGGGUGCGCAGGCGGUCUGUUAAGUCAGCGGUAAAAGCCCGGGGCUCAACCCCGGGCCGCCGUUGAAACUGGCAGUCUCGAGUUGGAGAGAAGUAUGCGGAAUGCGCGGUGUAGCGGUGAAAUGCAUAGAUAUCGCGCAGAACUCCGAUUGCGAAGGCAGCAUGCCGGCUCCACACUGACGCUGAGGCACGAAAGCGUGGGUAUCGAACAGGAUUAGAUACCCGAGUAGUC